GAGGGUAUAGACCAGUGACAGAGCUCAUGCUUAGCAUGCACUAAGUCCUGGGUUCAAUCCCCAGUGUCUUCA
Camelus ferus (Wild Bactrian camel) is the source of this 72-nucleotide transfer RNA. It matches the Rfam family "tRNA". From Rfam's summary of the family: Transfer RNA (tRNA) molecules are approximately 80 nucleotides in length. Their secondary structure includes four short double-helical elements and three loops (D, anti-codon, and T loops). NCBI's taxonomy places the organism in Eukaryota, Metazoa, Chordata, Mammalia, Artiodactyla, Camelidae. The record is from Rfam.